UUAAAUCUCGAGUGCCCUAUAAUCCCACAAUGCAUGCACAACGUGCAGACCGGCUCGUACCUAAAAGUGACCCAAAUUGUCACUCCAUUAUCCAUUUGCAAUGCACAGCCAGGUAAUAACGAACACCAUGGACAUACCUCCACACGCACUCGCAUAAAGCAGAUAUUUCUGGGAGUCAACAUCUUGCCAAUCGAUCUCCAGGAUCCCCCUACAACCCGUACCAUUCUAGCAGCCACAAAAAGGACAUUGGUAUUCUAAGCGUAGUCCCCAAAGUUGUAUCCAAAUAGUGACUCAAACAAACAUAUUAUUACUCAACUUUUUAUUAGGCCUCCAUGAAUGGACCAUGAAAAAUUCACCCUCCAAAGACCAAAGACCUUCAUCCAGUACAUAAUUCCUAUCAUUUAGAUCCUUAAACUGCAAGGUAGAGAAAUUACCAGUUCUUCCAACAAUAUGUACCCUAUCUCUAAGCCUCCAGACGCAAUUUCAAUAAGAUGUAAGUGUUGACGCAAAAAUUUUGGUUUUAAAUUCGUCUAAGUCGACCUAGACUUCGUAAAGUGAAAUUUCACAAUAGAUAUUAUCCAAAGUACUGAAAAUAAAUAAAAGCAACGCAAAGAUAAAAUAAGAAAAAAAGAACAAACAAACCGUAAUAAAGCCAAAGCACGCAAACUGUUUGAAUAAAUGCUCUCAAAAUGUUCUAUUACCCAAG
Molecule: long non-coding RNA, 706 nt
Filed under: Gossypium barbadense (sea-island cotton)
Lineage: Eukaryota; Viridiplantae; Streptophyta; Magnoliopsida; Malvales; Malvaceae
Description: long non-coding RNA (GBAR_LNC009594)
Source: RNAcentral